Molecule: long non-coding RNA, 3616 nt
Organism: Cyprinus carpio carpio
Lineage: Eukaryota; Metazoa; Chordata; Actinopteri; Cypriniformes; Cyprinidae
Source: Ensembl
AUGCCUAGAUCCAGCGGUGUGGGAUUUCGAAUCUGUUCCCCAGCCACCAUGGAGGAACGGAGGGGGAGAUUCCGGAACUUAACCACCCUUCGUCAAAGGGGGAGUGAGGUGGGUGGCCUGGCGCAAGUGUUUUGGACCAUGGCAGUUGGGCUAGGUUAUAAUGAGGCAGCACUGAAAGACUUAUUCAACAAUUGCCUAGAUGAUCCUUUGCCUCAAUGGGAGAUGAUGGGGCUGGAGAUCCUGGACUUUUGGGGUUUUACUAAUUACCUGCACCAUCGUGCUCGGUGGGAUACAUCGGCUGAUCCAGCGCCACAGCACAAGAUGGCCGCCAGCCCGGCGCCACAGCACAAGAGGGCCGCCAGCCCUGCGCCACAGCACAAGAGGGCCGCCAGCCCUGCGCCACAGCACAAGAUGGCCGCCAGCCCAGCGCCACAGCACAAGAUGGCCGCCAGCCCAGCGCCACAGCCCAAGAUGGCCGCGGAGACAGUAUUAAGUUACUUUUCCAGGAUGUGCCAGAUCCCAGAGUUUCCCGGGAGUGUUCACAUCACUGCCGCUGAGCCAGCGCCAAUGGCCAAGAUGGCCACCAGCGCAGCGCCACAGCACAAGAUGGCCGCCAGCCCAGCGCCACAGCACAAGAUGGCCGCCAGCCCAGCACCACUGCACAGGAUGGUCGAAUCUACACCUGUGUUGGCAGACAAGAUGGUUGACUCAACGCCUGAGUCUUCCGUCAAGGAGCCACCGGCACGUCAUCAUAGAGGCCGCAGGAGGAGGAGACAGGCGUCAGCCGUUCCUCAAAGCCCGGAGGACGUUCCCGAGCAGGCCGCUGCCGUCCAGGAGGACGUUCCCGAGCAGGCCGCUGCCGUCCAGGAGGACGUUCCCGAGCAGGCCGCUACCGUCCAGGAGGACAUUCCCGAGCAGGCCGCUGUCGUCCAGGUGGACGUGUCCAAGGUUCCCGAGGCGGUCCCGGAUGCAAUGACCGAGGCGGUGCCCGAGGCGGUGGCCGAGGCUGUGCCCGAUGCCGAGGCUGUGCCCGAUAUCGAGGCGGUGACCGAUGCCGUUCCGGAGGCCGAGGCUGUGCCCGAUGCCGAGGCGGUGACCGAUGCCGUUCCGGAGGUCGAGGCAGUGACCGAUGCUGUUCCGCAGGUCGAGGCGGUGCCCGAGGCUGUGCCCGAUGCCGAGGCUGUGCCCGAUGCCGAAGCGGUGCCCGAGGCUGUUCCGGAGGCCGAGGCGGUGCCCGAGAUGGUUCCGGAGGCCGAGGCGGUGGCCGAUGUUGUUCCGGAGGCCGAGGCGGUGGCCGAUGUUGUUCCAGAGACCGAGGCGGGGCCCGAUGCUGUUCCGGAGGCUGCUCCCAGGGCGGUGCCCGAGGUCGUGCCCGAGGUCGUUCCCGAGGCGGUGCCCGAACCCGAGGUCAUUCCCGAGGUGAUACCCGUGUCCAAGGCCGUUCCCGAGGCGGUGCCCUUGUCCAAGGGCGUUCCCGAGGCGGUGUCCAAUGCCGUGACCUGGCCAUCGCCACAGUCUGCUCCUCACUGGCUCCCCGAAUGGCAGGUUCCGUUCGGGCCACUCAAAUGGCGAAUUCCUCCCUGGCCAUCUGCACAACGAGAAUGGACUGAUCCACCGUGGCCACCUGAACUGCCUGGUCCCUCGUGGUCCCCUGAACUUUCGGGUCCACCAUGGCCCCCUGAUCUGACCGAGCCACCUGGGCUGCCAGGGGAGCCAUCGCUGCCGGUCCCAGUUCCCCUACACGGGCCUGGCCCGCCAUCCCUCCCCCUGUUCUGCCUCCACCAGUCCACCUCCCUCCUGGUCUCUUUGUUUUGGGUUUGGUUUGUUCUGAGGAGCAUCUAGAAGCUGCUCCUUAGAGGGGGGGUAGUGUCACGGUGUCUGGUUUGUGUAUCCCUGGGUGUCCACUAGAGGUCUCACUUCCCCUGAUUGUCACCCCCUUCUGAACUACAUUUCCCACUAGCCUUAUCUGUUCAUCACUGUUCAUUGUGUUCAGCUGUCACCACUUACCUUGUUUGCACCUGUCUAUAAAUACCCUGGUUGUUUCUGUCAUUGUUACGGAGUCCUUGUUGCAUGUCACCCUGCUUUUUCCUGGUUCCCUAGUGGAUGUUCGUGUUUCGUGUUUUGGACUGUUUAUGUUUGGUUUUGACCCCUGUCUGGACUGUUUAUGAUUUUGGAUUACCCGUUAAUAAACACUGCAUUUGGAUCUACCUGUCUGUGUGCGUUUCGUGACAAGAUUAAAGUAAUUAUUACGUUUUGAAUAUGAAUAUUUUUCUUACAAAAUCGCAUCAAGGAUUUACGGUGUGUGUGACACACGUGUUCACGGUGUGUGUGUGUUCCCUACUCACUAUUGUGUGUGUGCUUGGAUGGGUUAAAUGCAGAGCACCAAUUCAGAGUAUAAGUUACCAUACUUGGCAAAAUGUCACAACUUUCAGGAGGCCUUUGUUCACCCCCCGGAGCCGUGUGAGACACUUUUUUUAUGGAAGGGCGCUUUUUAUUUCACGUCUUUUGGACUGAAGCAAUGCAACACCCGCUGACUCCAAUGACAGAGCUUGAAAGAUCAAAGAAUAACUCUGACUGGAUUCGUUUGAAAGAAGAAAGUCAUAUACACCUAGGAUGCCUCGGGGGUGAGUAAAACACACCCUAAUUUUCAUUUUUGGGUGAACUAACCCUUUAAAAAGUCUUAAAUUGUACAAGAAAGUCUUAAAUAUGAUUUCAAGAGGUCUUAAAUUUGGGGACAGAAAGACCAGAAUUGCGAUAUGGCUGAAUGUGACAAAUAAACUUCAAAAGGCUAACGGUAUGAUUUCAUUAAAUAAACAGGAGUGCUGCAUGUUCAAAGUCCGGUGCUGCUGCUUUGUGUUCUGCCGUUACAGGGGAAACAGUUAUAUUUCUACCAAACGCUCCACCUGCUGGCAGAGAAAGCAAACACAAAAGACACCUACAGAGUGCAUGUAUACAUUAGGUGAUGAAGUCUAGCAGGUUAGACUAGUGCACAUUUAGAGUGUGUUCUUUCACUGCAUGACUUAGUCUAUUAAAAUGUAUUUAGAAUUAUCACAUAAUUCAUGAGGCAGAAAAUGUAUAUAUUUGUAUAAUUUCAUAUAGUUAAUAUCACACGAAGAGUGCCAUUUUUUUUCUCCAAAAGUAAGCAUGAUUACAAAUGUGAUAUUGAUUUUAUACAACAGUGAACAAUAAACAAGUAGUUAAUAUUAAGAGACUUAUGUUUUAGACACCAUAUUUCCUGUUUUUGCAGGAAACAAAAAUAAAAAAAAAUUUCUCCAACAAAAAUAAUUUAGAACAGCCACAGGACACUGUUUUUCCUGAGGGAAUCACCUGUUUAAAUGAUUCAGUUCCAACGCAAUGACUCACUUAUUAACAGUGCCUUCCUGCCAUCUACUGGCGAUUUUAAUUUCACAUUUAAGGUACCUUUUCGUUUUUUUUUUAAAUAAUUUUAAACAUCAGUUUUCAAUGUUUUAUGUUUAAAAUAUCAAAACAUUAUUUAUGCAUUUGUAAUUGUAGGUUAAAGUAUUUAGUGUCCCUCAGAGCUGAAUUAAAUGUGUAAAUGCAUCUAAAUGACACUUCUAAUGCAGUUUUUUGUGCAUUCCUUUGCAUUGCAAAGAAA